CCCGAAAAAGGCAAACCCACGGCGACGUGGGGGCGCAAAGCCACGGGUCUCCCUGAGACGGCCGGGCUGCCGAAG
This is a non-coding RNA of Acetothermia bacterium 64_32, 75 nucleotides long. The record is from Rfam. Lineage: Bacteria; Candidatus Bipolaricaulota.